AACGAACGCUGGCGGCAGGCUUAACACAUGCAAGUCGAACGAGACCUUCGGGUCUAGUGGCAGACGGGUGAGGAACACGUGGGAACAUCCCUUUCAGUUCGGAAUAACGUUGGGAAACUAACGCUAAUACCGGAUACGUCCUUCGGGAGAAAGAUUUAUCGCUGAAAGAUAGGUCCGCGUCUGAUUAGCUAGUUGGUGAGGUAAUGGCUCACCAAGGCUACGAUCAGUAGCUGAUCUGAGAGGAUGAUCAGCCACAUUGGGACUGAGACACGGCCCAAACUCCUACGGGAGGCAGCAGUGGGGAAUAUUGGACAAUGGGCGCAAGCCUGAUCCAGCCAUGCCGCGUGAGUGAUGAAGGCCUUCGGGUUGUAAAGCUCUUUUGUCCGGGAAGAUAAUGACUGUACCGGAAGAAUAAGCCCCGGCAAACUUCGUGCCAGCAGCCGCCGUAA
This 449-nucleotide ribosomal RNA is filed under the name uncultured bacterium. Its description in RNAcentral is "partial 16S ribosomal RNA". It matches the Rfam family "Bacterial small subunit ribosomal RNA", at positions 29 to 523 of the family's 1533-position model. The record is from RNAcentral.